AUUUGAGACUUUUGAAAAAUGAAAUACAACAUGUGCAUUGUGGGAAGAGGGAAAGCAUAGCACAGAGACAAAGAUGGCUACAUUGAAUGUUUCAAGCAGCAUGAGGUAGACACAUUAUCCAUUAGAGGCCACCCAAAACGUUGCGUGGCAAAUUCUGACUGGAACAAAGAUGGAGAUUGAGGAUGCAGAGGCCUCUUGACUGUUCAAGGACAUCUGGGCCGGGCUACUAGAGCAGAUUCUGCUCUCACUGUUCCUCUAAUGGCAUUAGGGCUGUGACGGUCAUGGGAUUUUGGAGGACGGUAUUUCACCAGCCAAAUGACCACGGUCUCCAUAAUAACCGUUGAAAAGCACUUAUUAUUAUUUAAUUUCUUACGCACAUUUUCUCCUCUCCUUGUGUGUAUUGGUGCAGAGGGAUGGAGGUGAAGAGACACAGAGGGAUGGAGGUGAAGAGGGAUGGAGGUGAAGAGGGAUGGAGGUGAAGAGGGAUGGAGGUGAAGAGGGAUGGAGGUGAAGAGACACAGAGGGAUGGAGCUGAAGAGACACAGAGAGAUGGAGCUGAAGAGACACAGAGGGAUGGAGCUGAAGAGACACAGAGGGAUGGAGCUGAAGAGACACAGAGGGAUGGAGCUGAAGAGACACAGAGAGAUGGAGGUGAAGAGACACAGAGGGAUGGAGGUGAAGAGACACAGAGGGAUGGAGCUGAAG
This is a long non-coding RNA of Oncorhynchus keta (chum salmon), 705 nucleotides long. RefSeq lists it as uncharacterized. The record is from RefSeq and is a predicted model, not a curated record. The transcript is spliced from 3 exons. Lineage: Eukaryota; Metazoa; Chordata; Actinopteri; Salmoniformes; Salmonidae.